CGCGUUCGUGUAAGAGCAUCCAUUGCAUCCACCCAGCAGCAUUGUUGAUGUUUAUAAAGCGGUGAGAAAAAAUCGCCGAACUGGGACUUCAGCGAACACCAAUUAUUACUAUAGAACAGAAAAAUCUUGCUUGUUAAUCCAGAGAGAUGACCUGGUUGUAGAAUACCACAAAUAUUCUUCAGCAUGUAUGGGAGACGUGAAGGAAGAGGAGGCUACCGUGAUGGUGGUGGAGAUGGUGGCGGUUGGAGAGGAGAAAGUGGUGGAGGAU
Penaeus vannamei (Pacific white shrimp) is the source of this 268-nucleotide non-coding RNA. Lineage: Eukaryota; Metazoa; Arthropoda; Malacostraca; Decapoda; Penaeidae. The record is from RefSeq and is a predicted model, not a curated record.